Molecule: long non-coding RNA, 514 nt
Organism: Mauremys reevesii (Reeves's turtle)
Lineage: Eukaryota; Metazoa; Chordata; Testudines; Geoemydidae
Exons: 4
Source: RefSeq, a predicted model, not a curated record
ACAUGUGCUGCCUGCUCCAGCCAAGACUCAGCAGAAGUCCAGGACUGUAGGAGCUGGGGAUGCUGCAGCCCAGGCAGAUGCCAAGGCAACCCCGGAGGUCUUGCAGGGUUUGGAGGCGCUGGAGAAAGGGCAUACUGGAGAAUCUAGAGAGAAAAUGACCUCCUCUCCUGAGUUGAUGUCAGUGCUUUAUAGAGGAUUUAUUGGUUUUGGCAGAGAUGGGGCAGUUUGUUCCGCAAGAUCCCACUGAUCUGAAUCCCAAACUGCUGCAGGAUCUUGGGUUUUCAAUAGGCAAUGCAAUGACUCAGAAGCUACAAUUCUCCCCAGCAGCUGCCCACUUUGCAGAAUCUCAGCGCAAACUAAACACCAUCAGGACAACUUGUUGCUGAGUCAUUUAGGGCACUGACAAAGCGUAUACACAGCACCAUCUGGUUUUGAUGCGGAGGGAGGGAGAAAUGAACACACAAACACACACACACACACGUGCAUAUACACACAAGACGUGGAGUUGCCCAUU